This 45-nucleotide non-coding RNA is filed under the name Schistosoma curassoni. Lineage: Eukaryota; Metazoa; Platyhelminthes; Trematoda; Strigeidida; Schistosomatidae. The record is from RNAcentral.
ACCCAGCUGACGAGUCCCAAAUGGGACGAAACGCGCAUCCUGGAU